This is a long non-coding RNA of Corapipo altera (White-ruffed manakin), 210 nucleotides long. RefSeq lists it as uncharacterized. The record is from RefSeq and is a predicted model, not a curated record. Lineage: Eukaryota; Metazoa; Chordata; Aves; Passeriformes; Pipridae. The transcript has 3 exons.
UGAGGGAGCGCGUGGAGAGAGCAUUCGCUGCCUCCCGGUUCCUGUUGCAGCAGGUGAAGCUCCGGGAGGGGUUCAGGCUCGUCACAGAGCCGGAAUUCAUCAACGUCUGCUUCUGGUUCAUCCCCCCGAGCCUGAGGGGCCGGGAGGAAUCCCCGGAAUUCUGGGAAAAACUGGGAAAGGUGAGCCUGGAAUUCCCAAAUCCCAACCCUG